RNAcentral lists this ribosomal RNA (497 nucleotides) under uncultured bacterium. Its description in RNAcentral is "partial 16S ribosomal RNA". It matches the Rfam family "Bacterial small subunit ribosomal RNA", at positions 28 to 507 of the family's 1533-position model. The record is from RNAcentral.
GAUGAACGCUGGCGGCGUGCCUAAUACAUGCAAGUCGAGCGAACAGACGAGGAGCUUGCUCCUCUGACGUUAGCGGCGGACGGGUGAGUAACACGUGGAUAACCUACCUAUAAGACUGGGAUAACUUCGGGAAACCGGAGCUAAUACCGGAUAAUAUAUUGAACCGCAUGGUUCAAUAGUGAAAGACGGGUUUGCUGUCACUUAUAGAUGGAUUCGCGCCGCAUUAGCUAGUUGGUAAGGUCACGGCUUACCAAGGCAACGAUGCGUAGCCGACCGGAGGGGGGGAUCGGCCACACUGGAACUGAGACACGGUCCAGACGCCUACGGGAGGCAGCAGUAGGGAAACGUCCGCAAUGGGCGAAAGCCUGACGGAGCAACGCCGCGUGAGUGAUGAAGGUCUUCGGAUCGUAAAACUCUGUUAUUAGGGAAGAACAAAUGUGUAAGUAAAUAUGCACGUCUUGACGGUACCUAAUCAGAAAGCCACGGCUAACUACGUG